CUGCCUCUCCGCUUCAACAUGGUUUAUAGGCAAUUCUUCGCCGUUUAGUUGCUUUCUUCCUCUUUUCUUGAACCGAUCGGUAUUUCCAGCAGUAAAAUUGCCAUCAGAAUCAGAACGCNNNNNNNNNAUGAUGACCGGCCUUGGCCAGUGGCAUCUUUCUUAUUUUUGUCGUCUUCAUUUUGCUUCUGCGUAAAGGUCUCCUUUUGAGAAGCUGAAAACGUGC
This 223-nucleotide unclassified non-coding RNA is filed under the name Hevea brasiliensis (rubber tree). The record is from RNAcentral. Lineage: Eukaryota; Viridiplantae; Streptophyta; Magnoliopsida; Malpighiales; Euphorbiaceae.